UACGGAAGGCAGCAGGGGGAAUAUUGGACAAUGGGCGAAAGCCUGAUCCAGCCAUGCCGCAUGAGUGAAGAAGGCCUUCGGGUUGUAAAGCUCUUUUAGUGAGAAAGAUAAUGACGGUACUCACAGAAGAAGUCCUGGCUAACUCCGUGCCAGCAGCCGCGGUAAUACGGAGAGGGCUAGCGUUAUUCGGAAUUAUUGGGCGUAAAGAGCGCGUAGGCUGAUUAGUAAGUUAAAAGUGAAAUCCCAAAGCUUAAACUUUGGAAUUGCUUUUUAAAACUGCUAGUCUAGAGAUUGAAAGAGGAUAGAGGAAUUCCUAGUGUAGAGGUGAAAUUCGUAAAUAUUAGGAGGAACACCAGUGGCGAAGGCGUCUAUCUGGUUCAAAUCUGACGCUGAGGCGCGAAGGGCGUGGGGAGCAAACGAGGGAUUUAGAUACC
This 434-nucleotide ribosomal RNA is filed under the name uncultured bacterium. RNAcentral's name for it is "bacterial SSU rRNA". It matches the Rfam family "Bacterial small subunit ribosomal RNA", at positions 340 to 786 of the family's 1533-position model. The record is from RNAcentral.